This 312-nucleotide ribosomal RNA is filed under the name uncultured bacterium. RNAcentral's name for it is "bacterial SSU rRNA". It matches the Rfam family "Bacterial small subunit ribosomal RNA", at positions 28 to 335 of the family's 1533-position model. The record is from RNAcentral.
GACGAACGCUGGCGGCGCGCCUAACACAUGCAAGUCGAACGAGCGGGAGAGAGCUUGCUUUCUCGAGCGGGUGCGGACGGUAGAGUAACGACGUGAGGAACCUGCCUCAAAGAGGGGGACAACAGUUGGAAACGACUGCUAAUACCGCAUAAGCCCACAGGUCGGCAUCGACCUGAGGGAAAAGGAGCAAUCCGCUUUGAGAUGGCCUCGCGUCCGAUUAGCUAGUUGGUGAGGUAACGGCCCACCAAGGCGACGAUCGGUAGCCGGACUGAGAGGUUGAACGGCCACAUUGGGACUGAGACACGGUCCAAA